GGAGGGGUGGCAGAGUGGUCGAUCGCGCUGGUCUUGAAAACCAGAGUCCGUGUAAGCGGACCGUGGGUUCGAAUCCCACCCCCUCCG
Molecule: transfer RNA, 87 nt
Filed under: Solirubrobacter taibaiensis
Lineage: Bacteria; Bacillati; Actinomycetota; Thermoleophilia; Solirubrobacterales; Solirubrobacteraceae
Description: tRNA-Ser
Rfam family: tRNA
About the family: Transfer RNA (tRNA) molecules are approximately 80 nucleotides in length. Their secondary structure includes four short double-helical elements and three loops (D, anti-codon, and T loops).
Source: RNAcentral